CUACGGGAGGCAGCAGUGAGGAAUAUUGGUCAAUGGACGAAAGUCUGAACCAGCCAUGCCGCGUGAAGGAUGAAGGUCCUCUGGAUUGUAAACUUCUUUUAUAAAAGAAGAAACCCCGGAUUUCUAUCCGGGUUGACGGUACUUUAUGAAUAAGCACCGGCUAACUCCGUGCCAGCAGCCGCGGUAAUACGGAGGGUGCAAGCGUUAUCCGGAUUCACUGGGUUUAAAGGGUGCGUAGGUGGGUUGGUAAGUCAGUGGUGAAAUCCCCGAGCUUAACUCGGGAACUGCCGUUGAUACUAUCAAUCUUGAAUACCGUGGAGGUCAGCGGAAUAUGUCAUGUAGCGGUGAAAUGCUUAGAUAUGACAUAGAACACCAAUUGCGAAGGCAGCUGGCUACCCGAAUAUUGACACUGAGGCACGAAAGCGUGGGGAUCAAACAGGAUUAGAUACCCUAGUAGUCC
RNAcentral lists this ribosomal RNA (460 nucleotides) under uncultured bacterium. RNAcentral describes it as "bacterial SSU rRNA". It matches the Rfam family "Bacterial small subunit ribosomal RNA", at positions 339 to 796 of the family's 1533-position model. The record is from RNAcentral.